GAUCCUGGCUCAGGAUGAACGCUAGCUACAGGCUUAACACAUGCAAGUCGAGGGGCAGCAUGAACUUAGCUUGCUAAGUUUGAUGGCGACCGGCGCACGGGUGAGUAACACGUAUCCAACCUGCCGAUGACUCGGGGAUAGCCUUUCGAAAGAAAGAUUAAUACCCGAUGGCAUAAUUCUUCCGCAUGGUAGAGUUAUUAAAGAAUUUCGGUCAUCGAUGGGGAUGCGUUCCAUUAGG
RNAcentral lists this ribosomal RNA (238 nucleotides) under uncultured bacterium. RNAcentral describes it as "partial 16S ribosomal RNA". It matches the Rfam family "Bacterial small subunit ribosomal RNA", at positions 15 to 245 of the family's 1533-position model. The record is from RNAcentral.